GUGCCUAUACGAUCUACUUAAAGGACCACCUCAGCUCAAUGAAGUGGUCUGGGUGCCAGGUCCCUCUAGUGUUAGCCCUGCUAUGUUUACACUAGAGUUAAUCCAGCCUCUAGUGGCUGUCUCACUGACCGCCGCUACUCACAAAAAAAAUAUAAAAAUAUAACAGUGAGAAGAUGCUGGACGUCCAUAGGAAAGCAUUGAGAAAUGCUUUCCUAUGGGCAGUUUGAAUGUGUGCGGCUCUUGCCGUGCAUGUGCAUUAGGUGCUGACGUCGGCAGGAGUAGGAGAGUUCCCUGGCACUGGAGAAAGGUAAGUGGCUGAAGGGGUUUGGGACCCUGAGGGCGAGGGGGGGACCUAAAGACCCUAUAGUGCCAGGAAAACGAGUUUGUUUUCCUGGCACUAUAGUGGUCCUUUAAUAAUGCAACAAACUCCUGGAUAUAGGAAAAAUCUGUUUUAGACCAAG
Molecule: non-coding RNA, 461 nt
Organism: Pelobates cultripes (western spadefoot toad)
Lineage: Eukaryota; Metazoa; Chordata; Amphibia; Anura; Pelobatidae
Source: the annotation of a GenBank genome assembly